Molecule: ribosomal RNA, 253 nt
Filed under: uncultured bacterium
Lineage: Bacteria
Description: partial 16S ribosomal RNA
Rfam family: Bacterial small subunit ribosomal RNA
Source: RNAcentral
UACAGAGGUCUCAAGCGUUGUUCGGAUUCAUUGGGCGUAAAGGGUGCGUAGGCGGCGCGGUAAGUCGGGUGUGAAAUCUCGGAGCUUAACUCCGAAACUGCAUUCGAUACUGCCGUGCUUGAGGACUGGAGAGGAGACUGGAAUUUACGGUGUAGCGGUGAAAUGCGUAGAGAUCGGAAAGAACACCAACGGCGAAAGCACUCUGCUGGGCCGACACUGACACUGAGAGACGAAAGCUAGGGGAGCGAAUGGG